RNAcentral lists this ribosomal RNA (1530 nucleotides) under Salmonella enterica. RNAcentral describes it as "bacterial SSU rRNA". It matches the Rfam family "Bacterial small subunit ribosomal RNA". Lineage: Bacteria; Pseudomonadati; Pseudomonadota; Gammaproteobacteria; Enterobacterales; Enterobacteriaceae. The record is from RNAcentral.
AGAGUUUGAUCAUGGCUCAGAUUGAACGCUGGCGGCAGGCCUAACACAUGCAAGUCGAACGGUAACAGGAAGCAGCUUGCUGCUUUGCUGACGAGUGGCGGACGGGUGAGUAAUGUCUGGGAAACUGCCUGAUGGAGGGGGAUAACUACUGGAAACGGUGGCUAAUACCGCAUAACGUCGCAAGACCAAAGAGGGGGACCUUCGGGCCUCUUGCCAUCAGAUGUGCCCAGAUGGGAUUAGCUUGUUGGUGAGGUAACGGCUCACCAAGGCGACGAUCCCUAGCUGGUCUGAGAGGAUGACCAGCCACACUGGAACUGAGACACGGUCCAGACUCCUACGGGAGGCAGCAGUGGGGAAUAUUGCACAAUGGGCGCAAGCCUGAUGCAGCCAUGCCGCGUGUAUGAAGAAGGCCUUCGGGUUGUAAAGUACUUUCAGCGGGGAGGAAGGUGUUGUGGUUAAUAACCGCAGCAAUUGACGUUACCCGCAGAAGAAGCACCGGCUAACUCCGUGCCAGCAGCCGCGGUAAUACGGAGGGUGCAAGCGUUAAUCGGAAUUACUGGGCGUAAAGCGCACGCAGGCGGUCUGUCAAGUCGGAUGUGAAAUCCCCGGGCUCAACCUGGGAACUGCAUUCGAAACUGGCAGGCUUGAGUCUUGUAGAGGGGGGUAGAAUUCCAGGUGUAGCGGUGAAAUGCGUAGAGAUCUGGAGGAAUACCGGUGGCGAAGGCGGCCCCCUGGACAAAGACUGACGCUCAGGUGCGAAAGCGUGGGGAGCAAACAGGAUUAGAUACCCUGGUAGUCCACGCCGUAAACGAUGUCUACUUGGAGGUUGUGCCCUUGAGGCGUGGCUUCCGGAGCUAACGCGUUAAGUAGACCGCCUGGGGAGUACGGCCGCAAGGUUAAAACUCAAAUGAAUUGACGGGGGCCCGCACAAGCGGUGGAGCAUGUGGUUUAAUUCGAUGCAACGCGAAGAACCUUACCUGGUCUUGACAUCCACGGAAGUUUUCAGAGAUGAGAAUGUGCCUUCGGGAACCGUGAGACAGGUGCUGCAUGGCUGUCGUCAGCUCGUGUUGUGAAAUGUUGGGUUAAGUCCCGCAACGAGCGCAACCCUUAUCCUUUGUUGCCAGCGGUCCGGCCGGGAACUCAAAGGAGACUGCCAGUGAUAAACUGGAGGAAGGUGGGGAUGACGUCAAGUCAUCAUGGCCCUUACGACCAGGGCUACACACGUGCUACAAUGGCGCAUACAAAGAGAAGCGACCUCGCGAGAGCAAGCGGACCUCAUAAAGUGCGUCGUAGUCCGGAUUGGAGUCUGCAACUCGACUCCAUGAAGUCGGAAUCGCUAGUAAUCGUGGAUCAGAAUGUCACGGUGAAUACGUUCCCGGGCCUUGUACACACCGCCCGUCACACCAUGGGAGUGGGUUGCAAAAGAAGUAGGUAGCUUAACCUUCGGGAGGGCGCUUACCACUUUGUGAUUCAUGACUGGGGUGAAGUCGUAACAAGGUAACCGUAGGGGAACCUGCGGUUGGAUCACCU